Molecule: long non-coding RNA, 1742 nt
Filed under: Strigops habroptila (Kakapo)
Lineage: Eukaryota; Metazoa; Chordata; Aves; Psittaciformes; Psittacidae
Description: lncRNA (ENSSHBG00005021053.1)
Source: RNAcentral
UUUUUUGUACUAAAACAAAAUAAUCUGCACCUGACAGAAGUGGCAGAUUUUCUUCUAGCCGUAAAAGAUGGAAUUGUCGUUACCUUCUGCUUGGUCUAGUUAAUAAUGAAAACUUACCAAUAAAGCACUUAAAAACAUCAUUGCUGCUUAAGAAUAAAAAAAGUAUCAAAUUUAAAACCCAAGUUAUCUGCAUGCGGUGUGUGGGCGCAUCCUUAUACAUAUGCUCAUGUGCAAGACUGAAGAUUUUGCAACUACCCCAGUAGUUUUAUUGAGAACGAUUACUGACUGGGAUUGUUAAUGAAUUUUAUUGUGUGCCGUAAAUACCAUGUUCUUCAUUUACUCUGCAGGGCUUGAUCCGUGCAGUUGCCAGUGGAUCAGUGUGACUAAAGCCCUGGAUUUCACAGUAAGGAUUGGAAGUCCCCAGAAAAUUUGAACUUCAUGAAGGAAUGUUAGCUUAAAAACAAGCACUGUUAAAAAAACCCUACUGAGUAAGUAUUAAUGCUGUGUUUCUAUUCUAUAAACUUGUUGGCAACCCUGGUUUUAAACAUGCUUGCCUCUAGAGCUUGUUGAAAAGCUGGAACAUUAUCUUGACUGAAAUAUUUCAACCAGCUCUCACUGCUACAGGCUUUCCUAAAACUAUAGCUCUAGUGCCUGUCAAAAUCAAGACAAAUAAAGAAAGGGAGGUGUGAGGGGAGGAAGGCCUUUUCUUAAUAAAGGCAGCUUCAGUUAGUAAGAUAACAUAAUCUUCAAGCUGCAAAAGCAGCACCUACUAAUUAGUCAUUGACUAAAACAUAAAUAAUAAAUACCUAAAUUGUUCCUUCUAUGCAUCCAUUUUUGUGCCAGAUAAACAUUUCAAUGCUCUGCCUAAUGCCAGCACAGCUGACACCGCGAUUUCCAGUCCAAAGCAAACUGCAAGUAGCUUUAAACCAAUACGACGGAGAGAGAUACUACAAGCCACUGGCGUCUGUGUGUUACGGUCAUCUUGCAACUGUUAUUUAAAAGGGAAUUCAACCUUUCUGUGAGAUGCGAUUAUAGAAUGAUUUAAGGGUCUAUUUCCCUCCUGAUGUGGAUGCUUAACUCUCAUCAGCAGAAAGUUAGCCAUACACACAGAAGGGUAAACAGAUACCUUAAUUACAUCAACAGGAUUUUUUUCUUAAAACCCAAGAGCUUUUAAUAACCUUUUUGGGUUAUGUUGUUAACAAGAGAUUACCACAGCAACAACAACAAAGUGCAUGUUUUAUGCUAAUGUAAAAUGCAUUAGUUAGUUGGAAACGAACCUACAUUUUAAAAAGUUACUGGAAUAUAAAUGAUUUUUUUUUCCUACUGUAGAAAAUGCUGCUUAAAAUGACACAAAACAUGCCUGGUUAAAACAAGACGCAACCUGCUAGGAAUGCUGAAGAUAGGCAAGGGUACUUUGUUGACAGCAUAAAGUAAAUGCGCUGACAAACAUCGCAUUGCUCUCCUUCCUUUUCAGCUCAUGGCUUCGGUCAGGAAUCCACAUCCUGCACAACCUUCCAGAUGUCCUGCACAAGCCCAGAAGGACCCUUUGUCAUGAAGAGCUGAGAGAUCUGAGAUCAUGUGAGGGAAUUAGUGUUAAGACUUACUAGGCAAUACUCAACCCAGGCAAGGAACAUGUGGUAGAUUUAGGUUCCAGUUCUACCAUUUUACUGGUUCUGCGCAACUCCACUGCCCGAAAGAAAACUCAGCUCAGCUCGCAAGCAGGAUCAGCAAAGGGUGUCAGC